UCCGGUUUGUCACCGGCAGUCUCAUUAGAGUGCCCAACUGAAUGUAGCAACUAAUGACAAGGGUUGCGCUCGUUGCGGGACUUAACCCAACAUCUCACGACACGAGCUUACGACAGCCAUGCAGCACCUGUGUUCCGAUUCCCUUUCGGGCACCCCUGCAUUUCUGCAGGGUUCCUGGCAUGUCAAGGGUAGGUAAGGUUUCUCGCGUUGCAUCGAAUUAAACCACAUCAUCCACCGCUUGUGCAGGCCCCCGUCAAUUCCUUUGAGUUUCGGUCUUGCGACCGUACUCCCCAGGCGGAGUGUUUCACGCGUUAGCUGGGCCCCUGAUCCACGUAGACCAAGGGCGAACACUCAUCGUUUACGGCAUGGACUAC
This 374-nucleotide unclassified non-coding RNA is filed under the name uncultured Pseudomonadota bacterium. Its description in RNAcentral is "uncultured proteobacterium contains 16S-23S intergenic spacer region". Lineage: Bacteria; Pseudomonadati; Pseudomonadota. The record is from RNAcentral.